GAUGAAGAACGCAGCGAAAUGCGAUAAGUAAUGUGAAUUGCAGAAUUCAGUGAAUCAUCGAAUCUUUGAACGCACCUUGCGCUCCUUGGUAUUCCGAGGAGCAUGCCUGUUUGAGUGUCAUUAAAUUCUCAACCCCUCUAACUUUUGUUGGAAGGGGCUUGGAUAUGGAGGCUUGCUGGCCAUUUGUUAAAGAAGGUCAGCUCCUCUGAAAUGCAUUAGCGGAACCGUUUGCGAUCCGUCACAGGUGUGAUAAUUAUCUACGCCGUGUAUAGUCGCUCUCUGUCUGUUCAGCUUCCAAUCGUCUUCAUGGACAAUUCUAUUGAAUAUUUGACCUCAAAUCAGGUAGGACUACCCGCUGAACUUAAGCAUAUCAAUAAGCGGAGGA
This 385-nucleotide unclassified non-coding RNA is filed under the name soil metagenome. RNAcentral describes it as "partial contains 5.8S ribosomal RNA, internal transcribed spacer 2, and large subunit ribosomal RNA". The stretch from base 1 to 120 matches the Rfam family "5.8S ribosomal RNA", at positions 35 to 154 of the family's 154-position model. The record is from RNAcentral.